UUACUAAGCGGGAAACUAAAAUCGAUUAUUUCGCCCAACACUUAGCCAAAAAAUUAGACAUUUCACCUUCACACUCAAUUUCCCCUCUUUCCUUCCAAAAAACCUAAGACUCGAAAAAACCUAAGACAAAACCAUCCUGAGACAUAACUCUCUGAAACCCACAAAUCGAUUCUCCCAGUCACUAAUUAAACUCGCCGGCCGCCAUCGUUAAAGGUAGCCGUGACACUGAAUCUCUUGCUCUUUCCUUUAACCAUGAUCCCCUUUCUCCAUCUCCAAAGAAUCAAACCCCAGAUCUUUGUCUUCGUCGAUGACCAGCCCAGAUUUUGAAGCUCCACUUUUUCUCAUCGUCUUCUCUUUCUUCUGCGUCUUUCGCCAUUAAAGAUACUGAUCUGAUGUAUAUAUAUUCUCCCACGAUUUAGCGAUUAUGAAGCCAGAGAGAGAUAGAGAGAGUCUGGGUUCGAUAAAAUUGACGGAGAGGGAGAAAGAAAGAGUCUAGGUUAAACCUAAGGGAUGAACCGAGAUGAACAAGUGGCCAAGAGGAAACCAUAACGAUCUUGAUUUAUAGGGUGCAAAGAGAAGCUGGUUUUGUCUUGGAACGGAUUCUUGAAUUGUAGAAACUUCAGCUCAAGGAAGAGAAUGUAAGAUUCUUGGUUUGUCUUUGUACAUACAGGCAGAGAAAAUACAAUGACUGUCGUGUUUUUUGGUAACCUAAUCGUCAUUGUCUUUCUCCUUUAAUUUUUUGGAUUUUGGUUUGUAAUGCUUAUGGUUUUCAGGAGAAGCCUAAGAGAUGACAAUCGCUACUUAUGUUGGUUUUUUGUGGGUUUGGAACAUUAGUAGAAAAUAAACUUUGUUGGUGUUUUUGGGUUUGUAACAUUAGUAGAAAAUAAAAUUUGUUGGUGUUUUCUGGGUCUGGAAUGGUUAUGUUUUCUCAGGUUGAACAUGUGGUAAGAAAAGAGACGACAUUGGCUACUUAUGAACUCAUUGGUAUAUAUUGUGAACUUCUUGUUGCUCGUUUGGUGUGAUUGGCUCUCAAAAGUAAGUAAAAAUCUAAACUCAGGCAAGUCUCUUUGAAGAACCUUUGUACACACUCGUUUGUUUUUGUUUAUUUGUGUUGAUCAUUGUUUGUGAUUUUACUUCAAAACAUGCUUUAAUGAUCUUAAGGUUAAGAGAUGUUAAAGAACUCUUUCAGAUAUUGUUAAGUAUUUUUCAGCAAAGUAUGAAAUUUUUUUGUUUUGUUUCAGCUGCUAAGGUUUGCAACCAGAUUCUGGUGUGAGUUGAUUGAUUUUCAGAUAAAUGGAGACUCUCUUUUUUGGAAUGACAACAAAGACUCGGAGGCUACCAAAACAGAGGAGAUUAAUUUGGGAAUGUGAAGUUAGUUUUAUUUUAUUUUGAGACUGACACUUUGUUAUGUAAGACUUGUGUUAUGUAAGACUUCUUUUAGUUAAUACAAUAUUUAAUGUUAUGUA
Camelina sativa (false flax) is the source of this 1466-nucleotide non-coding RNA. NCBI's taxonomy places the organism in Eukaryota, Viridiplantae, Streptophyta, Magnoliopsida, Brassicales, Brassicaceae. The record is from RefSeq and is a predicted model, not a curated record.